Stygiomarasmius scandens is the source of this 89-nucleotide non-coding RNA. The record is from the annotation of a GenBank genome assembly. NCBI's taxonomy places the organism in Eukaryota, Fungi, Basidiomycota, Agaricomycetes, Agaricales, Campanellaceae.
GUCACUUUGCCGGAGUGGUUAACGGGAUGGCCUGCUAUGCAUCUAGCCAUUGGGCUUUGCCCGCGUGUGUUCGAAUCGCACAGGUGACG